GUGGAAGAGGACAGAGUUAGUUUCCUGGGAUUUGGAAGGUGUGGUGAGCGCGAUGGCUUUUCACCCUAGCGCGGAUGAGACGCUGUCGAUACGGCAUGGAUUCAGGUGUGUUCCUGAGAAUGGAGUUAAAGUGGAGGAAGUUAGUCAGUGAACAGGUAGGAGCUGAAUUUAUACAUUCCGCUUCCAGAAUGAACAAAGCUGUGGUUGUGUUCAUGAAAAGAGCAAAUUUGGUUGGUAGGCUAAUUGCUAGUGGAAUAUUUGUAAGGGAUGUGUUGGUGCCAGUUUCACCUCUCUCUACCCCUUCGACAAGGGUGGUAGUUGCAAAUUUGCCUCCGUUUAUUACGGAUGAUCAAAUCAGGAAAGAGCUGAGUGGUUUUGGUAAGUUUGCUAGUGGGUUUCGUGUACUGUCGGCAGGUUUUCAGACAGAUGCCGUUAAGCACGUUGUUUCAUUCUGGAGGCAAGUGUUUAUGUUUCUGAACAACAAUGAGCAACAGCUAAAUGUGCAUUUUAAAGUGAGGCAUGGGGAGGGGCUCUAUGCAGGGUUUGCCAGCACAGAUAGUCUACGGUGUUUUGAGUGUGGGGAUUUGGGGCAUAAGAGCUUUGUGUGCCCACAUAAAGGGCAUAGACAAGGUGAGGGUACAAGCGCCCCCGGUGGGGGAAAUCGAGGUCAACGUGAAGGGGACAAUGAGACGCAGGUAGCAGAGGCUGGGCAUAGUCAUGCCAGUGAUGGUGGUGUAGAUGAGUCUGGGCCUAGUCAUGCCAUGGAUGGUGGUGUAGAUGAGGCUGGGUCUAGUCAUGCUAUGGAUGGCGGUGUAGAUGAGGCUGGGUCUAGUCAGGUUAUGGAUGGUGGUGUAGAUGAGGCUGGGUCUAGUCAUGCUACAGAUGGUGGUGUAGAUGAGGCUGGGUCUAGUCAUGCCAUGGAUGGUGGUGUAGAUGAGGCUGGGUCUAGUCAUGCUACAGAUGGUGGUGUAGAUGAGGCUGGGUCUAGUCAUGCUAGAGAUGGUGGUGUAGAUGAGGCUGGGUUUAGUCAUGUUAUAGAUGGUGGUGUAGAUGAGGCUGGGUCUAGUCAUGCCAUGGAUGGUGGUGUAGAUGAUGCUGGGUCUAGUCAUGCUAGAGAUGGUGGUAUAGAUGAGGCUGGGUCUAGUCAGGUUAUAGAUGGUGGUGUAGAUGAGGCUGGGUCUAGUCAUGCUAGAGAUGGUGGUGUAGAUGAGGCUGGGUUUAGUCAUGUUAUAGAUGGUGGUGUAGAUGAGGCUGGGUCUAGUCAGGUUAUGGAUGGUGGUGUAGAUGAGGCUGGGUCUAGUCAGGUUAUGGAUGGUGGUGUAGAUGAGGCUGGGUCUAGUCAGGCUAGAGAUGGUGGUGUAGAUGAGGCUGGGUCUAGUCAGGUUAUAGAUGGUGGUGUAGAUGAGGCUGGGUCUAGUCAUGCUAGAGAUGGUGGUGUAGAUGAGGCUGGGUUUAGUCAUGUUAUAGAUGGUGGUGUAGAUGAGGCUGGGUCUAGUCAGGUUAUAGAUGGUGGUGUAGAUGAUGCUGGGUCUAGUCAUGCCAUGGAUGGUAGUGUAGAUGACGCUGGGUCUAGUCAGGUUAUAGAUGGUGGUGUAGAUGAUGCUGGGUCUAGUCAUGCCAUGGAUGGUAGUGUAGAUGAGGCUGGGUCUAGUCAGGUUAUAGAUGGUGGUGUAGAUGAGGCUGGGUCUAGUCAGGUUAUGGAUGGUGGUGUAGAUGAGGCUGGGUCUAGUCAGGUUAUGGAUGGUAGUGUAGAUGAGGCUGGGUCUAGUCAGGUUAUGGAUGGUAGUGUAGAUGAGGCUGGGUCUAGUCAGGUUAUGGAUGGUGGUGUAGAUGAGACUGGGUCUAGUCAGGUUAUAGAUGGUGGUAUAGAUGAGGCUGGGUCUAGUCAGGUUAUAGAUGGUGGUGUAGAUGAUGCUGGGUCUAGUCAGGUUAUGGAUGGUGGUGUAGAUGAGGCUGGGUCUAGUCAGGUUAUGGAUGUAGUGUAGAUGAGGCUGGGUCUAGUCAGGUUAUAGAUGGUGGUGUAGAUGAUGCUGGGUCUAGUCAGGUUAUGCUAGUGGAUGAGGAGAGUAUAGUGGGGAAGUGUAAGAAACUAGGGGGGAGGAGGAGGGUGUCAAGAGAAAAAGGGUGUGGUCAAAGGCACCAUGGAACCUUUGCCUGGUGCUGGGGGAGGCCCUGACUAGAGAGGAAGGGCAGGUGGUCAGGAUUGGAGAUGGAGAUGAGGAGGAGGAAAGUGAGUCUGAGGAAGAGGAUGAUGAGGAGGCCUUUUCUUCAGACUCCUCUUCAAUGGGUCCGGAGCUGACAGCCAGUCAAGCAGAGGGGUCAAAGUAUACGGUGAGAGAACUGACAAGGUUCCUGAAUGAGACCAAGGUGGAAAAAGUUAAUCUUGAGGAUUUUUUUUCUGAUCCGAGAAAGUUUGUAAGAUCAGUACAACAUGCUAUGACAAAUGAGGGGCAUGGUGUCCUCUCACCCAGGAAACGGUUUAGGUUGAGGAAGUGGGUCACAACAGUGCGUAAGGGUCUACCUUCAGACACUGUUUAGAUGUAUAGCUUCUUUCUGGCAAUGUGGUUUUUUGAGCUUUGCUAUUGGUCUCUUUCUUUGCUGGCUUUUCUCCCACUUCUUAUGGAGACUCUUCGGGUAGGAUCGCUCAAUAUAAAUGGCGCCAGAGAUGCGGGAAAGAGGAGCGUGCUGGGUGAAUAUGUGAAACCAAAAAAAAGUACAGGUAUUGUUUCUGCAGGAGACGCAUAGUGAUAUGGUGAAUGAAGUCGAUUGGGGGCUCUGGUGGAAAGGGGCAAGUGUGUUGAGC
RNAcentral lists this long non-coding RNA (2803 nucleotides) under Salmo salar (Atlantic salmon). RNAcentral's name for it is "lncRNA (ENSSSAG00000111930.1)". Lineage: Eukaryota; Metazoa; Chordata; Actinopteri; Salmoniformes; Salmonidae. The record is from RNAcentral.